Molecule: small nucleolar RNA, 138 nt
Organism: Ornithorhynchus anatinus (platypus)
Lineage: Eukaryota; Metazoa; Chordata; Mammalia; Monotremata; Ornithorhynchidae
Source: RefSeq, a predicted model, not a curated record
CCCCUCUCAGGGAUGCGCCUGGAGAGUUUCCAUUGCUCUACCAGUCUCAGCUAUGGGAGGAAAAGUCAAGCUGAGGCUUACCCAUUCCAUUCCUAGCUUGGCCAGUGGCUAGUGCAUGGAAGGCAAUCUGCUACAAGU